RNAcentral lists this ribosomal RNA (253 nucleotides) under uncultured bacterium. RNAcentral's name for it is "partial 16S ribosomal RNA". It matches the Rfam family "Bacterial small subunit ribosomal RNA", at positions 524 to 776 of the family's 1533-position model. The record is from RNAcentral.
UACGGAGGGUGCAAGCGUUAAUCGGAAUUACUGGGCGUAAAGCGUGCGCAGGCGGCGCGUUAAGACAGGUGUGAAAGCCCCGAGCUUAACUUGGGAAUUGCGCUUGUGACUGGCGAGCUGGAGUGUGGCAGAGGGAGGUGGAAUUCCACGUGUAGCAGUGAAAUGCGUAGAGAUGUGGAGGAACACCGAUGGCGAAGGCAGCCUCCUGGGCCAGCACUGACGCUCAUGCACGAAAGCGUGGGGAGCAAACAGG